RNAcentral lists this ribosomal RNA (504 nucleotides) under uncultured bacterium. RNAcentral describes it as "partial 16S ribosomal RNA". It matches the Rfam family "Bacterial small subunit ribosomal RNA", at positions 29 to 507 of the family's 1533-position model. The record is from RNAcentral.
ACGAACGCUGGCGGCGUGCCUAAUCCAUGCAAGUAGAACGCACAGUUUAUACCGUAGCUUGCUACACCAUAAACUGUGAGUUGCGAACGGGUGAGUAACGCGUAGGUAACCUGCCUGGUAGCGGGGGAUAACUAUUGGAAACGAUAGCUAAUACCGCAUAAUAUUAAUUAUUGCAUGAUAAUUGAUUGAAAGAUGCAAUUGCAUCACUACCAGAUGGACCUGCGUUGUAUUAGCUAGUAGGUGAGGUAACGGCUCACCUAGGCGACGAUACAUAGCCGACCUGAGAGGGUGAUCGGCCACACUGGGACUGAGACACGGCCCAGACUCCUACGGGAGGCAGCAGUAGGGAAUCUUCGGCAAUGGACGAAAGUCUGACCGAGCAACGCCGCGUGAGUGAAGAAGGUUUUCGGAUCGUAAAGCUCUGUUGUAAGAGAAGAACGGGUGUGAGAGUGGAAAGUUCACACUGUGACGGUAUCUUACCAGAAAGGGACGGCUAACUACGUG